This 2843-nucleotide ribosomal RNA is filed under the name Jakoba libera. RNAcentral's name for it is "large subunit ribosomal RNA". It matches the Rfam family "Bacterial large subunit ribosomal RNA". Lineage: Eukaryota; Jakobea; Jakobida; Jakobidae. The record is from RNAcentral.
AAAGAAAGAGGAAAGAAAUAGGUAAAGUAUCUCGUGGAUGCCUUGAAAUCCAAUUCUAAAAGGACGUAUUGCGCUGCGAUAAGUCAUGAGGAGAAGCGUAUAAUCUGUGAUUCAUGAAUAUCCUAAGAGGAAACUCUCUCUUUAAGAGAUCAAUCAACUUGGUGAAGUGAAACAUCUCAGUAACCAAAGGAAAAGAAAUCAAAAGAGAUUCCGUUAGUAGUGGCGAAUGAAACCGGAGUAGGCCAAUUUUCUAACUUGUUUUGAAUUGUACUAAAGACUUUCGGGUCUUUGUUACUAAGUUUAACAGGAAAGAAAAGCUUUGACUUUUUAGCAACUAAAAUUGUUUGGAAAAAUAAACCAUAGAAGGUGAAAGUCCUGUAUAGGUAAAAACUAAAAAGCAAAGUAAGAGAGUAAGACGGGACACGUGAAAUCCUGUCUGAAAAUGGGGAGACCACUCUCUAAGCCUAAAUAGUAUUGGAUCAUCGAUAGUGAACAAGUACUGUGAAGGAAAGGUGAAAAGAAUUCUGGGUAAGAAUAGUGAAAUAGACCUGAAACGGGAUACGUCAAAUCAGUUGCAUGAAGAGUUAUUACUUUUUGGCAACGUACCUUUUGCAUAAUGGGUCAGCGAGUUUUAGUAACUAGCAAGCUUAAGCCGUUAGGUGUAGGCGUAGCGAAAGCGAAUUUGAAAGACAGUGUUAGUUAGUUGCUAAAUACCCGAAACUGAAUGAUCUAGCCAUGACCAAGUUGAAGAUAUGGUAAAACAUAUUGGAGGACUGAACCAGUGGUUGUAGAAAUAACCUUGGAUGAGUUGUGGCUAGGGGUGAAAGGCUAAUCAAAUUCAGUGAUAGCUGGUUUUCUGCGAAAUCUAUGUUAGUAGAGCGCGUUUGGUGAACUCAUUCCAGGUAGAGCACUCAAUGGAUACUGGGGGUCGUAAAGAUACUUCAGGUUCAAGGAAACUCCGAAUUAGAAUGAGAAUCCCAACGUAGACAGACUUAAGGUGAUAAGAUCUUAGGUCAAAAGGGAAACAGCUCAGAUCGUAGGCUAAGGUCUCUAAGUGAUGAUUAAGUGAGAAAGGCUGUGAGAGAGCUAAGACAGCCAGGAGGUGUGCUUGGAGGCAGCAAUCCUUUAAAGAAAUCGUAAUAGAUCACUGGCCGAUCGCUUUCUUGCGCCGAAAAUGUAACGAGACUAAAUCAUCCACCCAAGCCACGAAUGCUUGCAAUACUACAUGAAGGAAUCUUCAUCUAAGCAUUGUAUAGCGUGGUAGCAGAAUGUUCUGUAACUUAAUGAAGAGAUGAUGUGAAUCAUCUUGGAGAGAUCAGAAGUAAGAAUGCUGACAUGAGUAACGAUAAACUAUGUCAAAUCAUAGUCGCCGAAAGCUCAAGGUUUUCACCAAAAGGAUCGACCGUGGUGAGUUAAGUGGCCUCUUAGAGAAAGACGAAAGUUUUACUUGAUGAGUAGAUUUUAGAUGACGGAUUCUCGGACUCAACCUUUUCUUCUUAAUGGAUCGAAGAUUUGGGAAUGAGGGUUCCAGGAAAUAACUAAAGUCAACACUACCAUACCGGAAACCGACACAGGUGAGCGGGCUGAGUAUGCUAAGGCGCGUGAGUGAAGCAUCCCAAAGGAACUCGGCAAAUUAACUUCGUAACUUCGGGAGAAGAAGUACCUAUUGAUUUGGAAUCUUUAGGUGGCACAGAAAUGAGGAUGGCGACUGCUUAGUAAAAGCACAGCUUUUCGCUAAUUCGUAAGAAGACGUAUGAGAAGUGAGACCUGCCCGGUGCCAUAAAGUUAACAGGACUUGUCUUCGGGCAAGAAAUUGAAGCCAUGGUAAACGGCGGUCCUAUUUUGAGGAUCCAAAGGUAGCGUAACCCACUGUCGGGUAAGUUCCGACCUGCAUGAAUGGUAUAACGACUGUCCUACUGUCUCUGGGAUGCGCUCAGUGAAAUUGAAAUCUCCGUGCAGAUGCGGAGUACACUCAGCAAGACGUGAAGACCCUAUACACCUUUACUAGAUUUUUACAUUGUAAUUAUAAAUUUCUUCUGCAGCAUAGGUGCCAGUCUAGGAUUGCUUAGCGCCAGCUAAGAGGGAGACCACAUUGAGAUAGCACCGUGGAAAUUUGUCAUUACUAACUUGAUCUUUUCUUCUACUCUAUUGAAGUUGUUAAUUUGAUAAGGACAAUGUAUGAUUGCUAGUUUAACUGGGGCGGUUUCCUCCUAAAUUGUAACGGAGGAGUGCGAAGGUUGGCUCAGGUUGGACGGAAACCAACUGAUUGAGUAUAAUAGCAUAAGCCAGCCUGACUGCAACACCUACAAGUGAAGCAGAGGCGCAAGCCGGCUAUAGUGAUCCUGUAGUAUCGCGUGGAAUAACUACAGCUCAACGGAUAAAAGGUACGUUAGGGAUAACAGGCUAAUGACUCCUGAGAGCUCUUAUCGAUGGAGUUGUUUGGCACCUCGAUGUCGACUCAUCAUAUCCUGAGGCUGAAGAAGGUCUCAAGGGUUCGGCUGUUCGCCGAUUAAAAUGGUACGUGAGUUGGGUUUAGAACGUCGUGAGACAGUUUGGUCCCUAUCUGCUGAGUGUGUAAAGAGAACUUAAAGGCUCUGGGCCUCGUACGAAAGGAACGGCUUGGACAUACCUAUAGUGUACCAGUUGUCAUUCCAAUGGCAUCGCUGGGUAGCCACGUAUGGAAUGGAUAAUUGCUGAAAGCAUCUAAACAAGAAACCAGCCUUGAAUAUAGUUCUCAUAAAAACGUAAUACAACAUUACGUCAAUAGGUUGAAUGUGUAAGUAUGGCAACAUAUUUAGCUAAUCAAUACUAACCUUUUUAAAAUUUCUUUCUUUCCUUUCUUU